Molecule: ribosomal RNA, 503 nt
Filed under: uncultured bacterium
Lineage: Bacteria
Description: partial 16S ribosomal RNA
Rfam family: Bacterial small subunit ribosomal RNA
Source: RNAcentral
AUUGAACGCUGGCGGCAGGCUUAACACAUGCAAGUCGAGCGGGGUGAUGGUGCUUGCACUAUCACUUAGCGGCGGACGGGUGAGUAAUGCUUAGGAAUCUGCCUAUUAGUGGGGGACAACAUCUCGAAAGGGAUGCUAAUACCGCAUACGUCCUACGGGAGAAAGCAGGGGAUCACUUGUGACCUUGCGCUAAUAGAUGAGCCUAAGUCGGCUUAGUUAGUUGGUGGGGUACAGGCGUACCAAGGCGACGAUCUGUAGCGGGUCUGAGAGGAUGAUCCGACACACUGGGACUGGGCGACGGCCCAGACUCCUACGGAGGGCAGCAGUGGGGAAUAUUGGACAAUGGGGGGAACCCUGAUCCAGCCAUGCCGCGUGUGUGAAGAAGGCCUUAUGGUUGUAAAGCACUUUAAGCGAGGAGGAGGCUCUUUUGGUUAAUACCCAAGAUGAGUGGACGUUACUCGCAGAAUAAGCACCGGCUAACUCUGUGCCAGCCGCCGCCGUAA